GACGAACGCUGGCGGCGUGCUUAACACAUGCAAGUCGAACGGAAAGGCCCUGCUUUUGUGGGGUGCUCGAGUGGCGAACGGGUGUGUAACACGUGAGUAUCCUGCCCUUGACUUUGGGAUAACUUCAGGAAACUGGGGCUAAUACCGGAUAGGAGCUCCUGCUGCAUGGUGGGGGUUGGAAAGUUUCGGCGGUUGGGGAUAGACUAGCGGCUUAUCAGCUUGUUGGUGGGGUAGUGGCUUACGAAGGUUUUGACGGGUAGCCGGCCUGAGAGGGUGACCGGCCACAUGGGGACUGAGAGACGGCGCAGACGCCUACGGUAGGCAGCAGGGGAGAAUAUUACACAACGAGCGGAAGUCUGAGGCAACGGCGCCGCGUGCGUAAUGACCGCCUUCGGGGUAUAAACCGCUUUCGCCUGAGACGAAGCGUUAGUGACGGUAAUGGGUAAAGAAGCACCGGCUAACUACGUG
Molecule: ribosomal RNA, 468 nt
Filed under: uncultured bacterium
Lineage: Bacteria
Description: partial 16S ribosomal RNA
Rfam family: Bacterial small subunit ribosomal RNA
Source: RNAcentral